RNAcentral lists this ribosomal RNA (253 nucleotides) under uncultured bacterium. RNAcentral describes it as "partial 16S ribosomal RNA". It matches the Rfam family "Bacterial small subunit ribosomal RNA", at positions 524 to 776 of the family's 1533-position model. The record is from RNAcentral.
UACGGAGGAUGCAAGCGUUAUCCGGAAUGAUUGGGCGUAAAGCGUCCGCAGGUGGCUAUGUAAGUCUGCUGUUAAAGAGUCUAGCUCAACUAGAUAAGAGCAGUGGAAACUACAUGGCUAGAGUGCGUUCGGGGCAGAGGGAAUUCCUGGUGUAGCGGUGAAAUGCGUAGAGAUCAGGAAGAACACCGGUGGCGAAGGCGCUCUGCUAGGCCGCAACUGACACUGAGGGACGAAAGCUAGGGGAGCGAAUGGG